GGAGGAGUCCGAGCAAGAAAAGGAAGAAGGUGGCGAUGGAUACCUCCACUGCUGCUGUUGUUACUAUCGGUGUUCUGGAGCUUGUAGUUACUGCCAUUUUUGGGUGAUGAACCUAGCUGUGUCCUUGCUGCUGAUUGAUUGUAGUGAGAGACGUUGUAGCCAUUACUUUUUAUCUUGAGUCACCAUUGUCAUAUCUCGGUGCUGCUGCCCUUGUUUGGAACUACAGAAUGUUGUCUCCGCCACUGUCGAUUUAUCUAUUGCAAAGUCAUAAUUGAUAAUGGAGCUGCUAAGAUUGCUGCUACUGCCAUGAACUGGGGAUAAAAGGGGUUAUUGAGUUAAAUUCUGUGAUUGAGACAUUGAGCUUUACCUUUUCAGGAAUCGGAUGAAGAAGCGUUAAGAAGAGUUAUACUGCGUUUGGUUGAUAUGUUGUUGUAUUAAUUAGAUUAUUUUAUUCCCUCGUCUUUGUUAUUACAAAUUUGUAAGAGGGAUAGGAAUUGUAUGUUUUAUAUGUAUAUUAUAUUAUGAGUUAUUAUGUAAGGAGUCUUGUAUAUGAAUCUAUGCCUGUUUGUAUUUCUAUUAAGAUAAAGUGUUUAUUUCCCGUUUUCAAGGAAA
Non-coding RNA from Arachis ipaensis, 612 nucleotides. The record is from RefSeq and is a predicted model, not a curated record. NCBI's taxonomy places the organism in Eukaryota, Viridiplantae, Streptophyta, Magnoliopsida, Fabales, Fabaceae.